This 393-nucleotide ribosomal RNA is filed under the name uncultured bacterium. RNAcentral describes it as "bacterial SSU rRNA". It matches the Rfam family "Bacterial small subunit ribosomal RNA", at positions 365 to 774 of the family's 1533-position model. The record is from RNAcentral.
UGCGCAAUGGGGGAAACCCUGACGCAGCGACGCCGCGUGGGUGAUGAAGGCCUUCGGGUCGUAAAACCCUUUUGCCACUGACGAGGAAGGACGGUAGGUGGCGAAUAAGCCUCGGCUAACUACGUGCCAGCAGCCGCGGUAAUACGAAGGGUGCAAGCGUUACUCGGAAUUACUGGGCGUAAAGCGUGCGUAGGCGGUCUGUUAAGUCUGCUGUGAAAUCCCCGGGCUCAACCUGGGAAUGGCAGUGGAAACUGGCGGGAUAGAGUACGGUAGAGGAUGGUGGAAUUCCCGGUGUAGCGGUGAAAUGCGUAGAGAUCGGGAGGAACACCAGUGGAGAAGGCGGCCAUCUGGACCAGUACUGACGCUGAGGCACGAAAGCGUGGGGAGCAAACA